This 694-nucleotide ribosomal RNA is filed under the name Escherichia coli. RNAcentral describes it as "bacterial SSU rRNA". It matches the Rfam family "Bacterial small subunit ribosomal RNA", at positions 93 to 783 of the family's 1533-position model. Lineage: Bacteria; Pseudomonadati; Pseudomonadota; Gammaproteobacteria; Enterobacterales; Enterobacteriaceae. The record is from RNAcentral.
GAGUGGCGGACGGGUGAGUAAUGUCUGGGAAACUGCCUGAUGGAGGGGGAUAACUACUGGAAACGGUAGCUAAUACCGCAUAACGUCGCAAGACCAAAGAGGGGGACCUUCGGGCCUCUUGCCAUCGGAUGUGCCCAGAUGGGAUUAGCUAGUAGGUGGGGUAAAGGCUCACCUAGGCGACGAUCCCUAGCUGGUCUGAGAGGAUGACCAGCCACACUGGAACUGAGACACGGUCCAGACUCCUACGGGAGGCAGCAGUGGGGAAUAUUGCACAAUGGGCGCAAGCCUGAUGCAGCCAUGCCGCGUGUAUGAAGAAGGCCUUCGGGUUGUAAAGUACUUUCAGCGGGGAGGAAGGGAGUAAAGUUAAUACCUUUGCUCAUUGACGUUACCCGCAGAAGAAGCACCGGCUAACUCCGUGCCAGCAGCCGCGGUAAUACGGAGGGUGCAAGCGUUAAUUGGAAUUACUGGGCGUAAAGCGCACGCGGGCGGUCUGUUAAGUUAGAUGUGAAAUCCCCGGGCUCAACCUGGGAACUGCAUUUGAUACUGGCAAGCUUGAGUCUUGUAGAGGGGGGUAGAAUUCCAGGUGGAGCGGUGAAAUGCGUAGAGAUCUGGAGGAAUACCGGUGGCGAAGGCGGCCCCCUGGACGAAGACUGACGCUCAGGUGCGAAAGCGUGGGGAGCAAACAGGAUUAGAU